Molecule: unclassified non-coding RNA, 406 nt
Filed under: soil metagenome
Description: partial contains 5.8S ribosomal RNA, internal transcribed spacer 2, and large subunit ribosomal RNA
Rfam family: 5.8S ribosomal RNA (bases 1-121)
Source: RNAcentral
GAUGAAGAACGUAGCGAAAUGCGAUAAGUAAUGUGAAUUGCAGAAUUCAGUGAAUCAUCGAAUCUUUGAACGCACCUUGCGCCCUUUGGCCAUUCCGAAGGGCAUGCCUGUUUGAGUAUCAUGAACACCUCAACUCUUCAUGGUUUUCCGUGAUGAGCUUGGACUUUGGGGGUCUUGCUGGCCUAUGGUCAGCUCCUCUAAAAUAAAUCAGCUUGCCAGUGUUUGGUGGGUAUCACAGGUGUGAUAACUAUCUACGCUUGUGGUUUUCCACCAGGUAACCUUCAGCAGUGGAGGUUCGCUGGAGCUCACAGAUGUGUCUCUCCUCAGUGAGGACAGCUAUUUGAAUGUUUGAUCUCAAAUCAGGUAGGACUACCCGCUGAACUUAAGCAUAUCAAUAAGCGGAGGA